UCCUGCAUGCCCUUCCACAUCGCCACUGUUCUCCAGCUUUGUCUUGUUCUCUGAGGUUAUUUGUCAGCACACACUGCCCCUGCCUACACUGCUUCAGGGCUCCCUACCAUGUUUCCCCCACUGAGCAGCUAGAAGAAUGAGCUUGAGUUUGGAUAUCACUUUGUCCUUGGUUCUGUCCCUCUGCCGCCUACCUUCCACACUGUGCUGGGUUUCCACCUUCUGCUGAUCCCCUUGCUAGGCUACCAAGACGCAUAUCCUGCAGGCUUGCCUGUCCUCUCAUGCCUGGACUUGCCCAGCUGCCCCUUCCCUCUGUUCUCACACAGGAACUCAGAACCCCAUUUCCUGGGAGGUGCAGCGAUUUGAUGGGUGGUACAACAACCUCAUGGAUCACAGAUGGGGCAGCAAAGGCUCUCGGCUCCAGCGCCUGGUUCCAGCCAGUUAUGCAGAUGGUGUGUACCAGCCCUUGGGAGAACCCCACCUGCCCAACCCCAGAGACCUUAGCAACACUGCCAUGAGGGGCCCUUCAGGGCAGGCCUCCCUGUGAAACCCAACAGUGCUUGGAGUCUUCUUUGGCUACCAUGUGCUCUCGGACCUGGUGAGC
Ailuropoda melanoleuca (giant panda) is the source of this 601-nucleotide long non-coding RNA. RefSeq lists it as uncharacterized. Lineage: Eukaryota; Metazoa; Chordata; Mammalia; Carnivora; Ursidae. The record is from RefSeq and is a predicted model, not a curated record. The transcript is spliced from 3 exons.